GUCGAGCGAACAGACGAGGAGCUUGCUCCUUUGAUGUUAGCGGCGGACGGGUGAGUAACACGUAGGUAACCUACCUAUAAGACUGGGAUAACUUCGGGAAACCGGAGCUAAUACCGGAUAAUAUUUCGAACCGCAUGGUUCGAUAGUGAAAGAUGGCUUUGCUAUCACUUAUAGAUGGACCUGCGCCGUAUUAGCUAGUUGGUAAGGUAACGGCUUACCAAGGCAACGAUACGUAGCCGACCUGAGAGGGUGAUCGGCCACACUGGAACUGAGACACGGUCCAGACUCCUACGGGAGGCAGCAGUAGGGAAUCUUCCGCAAUGGGCGAAAGCCUGACGGAGCAACGCCGCGUGAGUGAUGAAGGUCUUCGGAUCGUAAAACUCUGUUAUUAGGGAAGAACAAACGUGUAAGUAACUGUGCACGUCUUGACGGUACCUAAUCAGAAAGCCACGGCUAACUACGUGCCAGCAGCCGCGGUAAUACGUAGGUGGCAAGCGUUAUCCGGAAUUAUUGGGCGUAAAGCGCGCGUAGGCGGUUUUUUAAGUCUGAUGUGAAAGCCCACGGCUCAACCGUGGAGGGUCGUUGGAAACUGGAAACUUGAGUGCAGAAGAGGAAAGUGGAAUUCCAUGUGUAGCGGUGAAAUGCGCAGAGAUAUGGAGGAACACCAGUGGCGAAGGCGACUUUCUGGUCUGUAACUGACGCUGAUGUG
RNAcentral lists this ribosomal RNA (709 nucleotides) under uncultured Staphylococcus sp. Its description in RNAcentral is "bacterial SSU rRNA". It matches the Rfam family "Bacterial small subunit ribosomal RNA", at positions 61 to 753 of the family's 1533-position model. The record is from RNAcentral. Lineage: Bacteria; Bacillati; Bacillota; Bacilli; Caryophanales; Staphylococcaceae.